CCUACGGGUGGCUGCAGUGGGGAAUAUUGCACAAUGGGGGAAACCCUGAUGCAGCGACGCCGCGUGAGUGAAGAAGUAAUUCGUUAUGUAAAGCUCUAUCAGCAGGGAAGAAAAUGACGGUACCUGAGUAAGAAGCCCCGGCUAACUACGUGCCAGCAGCCGCGGUAAUACGUAGGGGGCAAGCGUUAUCCGGAUUUACUGGGUGUAAAGGGAGCGUAGACGGGAAAGCAAGUUGAAUGUUUAAGGUACGGGCUCAACCUGUACAAGCGUUCAAAACUGUUUUUCUUGAGUGGAGUAGAGGUAAGCGGAAUUCCUAGUGUAGCGGUGAAAUGCGUAAAUAUUAGGAGGAACACCAGUGGCGAAGGCGGCUUACUGGACUUUAACUGACGCUGAGGCUUGAAAGCGUGGGUAGCAAACAGGAUUAGAUACCCGGGUAGUC
RNAcentral lists this ribosomal RNA (439 nucleotides) under uncultured bacterium. RNAcentral describes it as "partial 16S ribosomal RNA". It matches the Rfam family "Bacterial small subunit ribosomal RNA", at positions 338 to 795 of the family's 1533-position model. The record is from RNAcentral.